ACGGAAGGCAGCAGUGAGGAAUAUUGGUCAAUGGGCGGAAGCCUGAACCAGCCAAGUCGCGUGAAGGAAGACGGUAUUAUGUAUUGUAAACUUCUUUAGACGCAGAGAAAUAAGGGGCUCGCGAGCUCUGAUGCUAGUAUGCGUAGAAUAAGGAUCGGCUAACUCCGUGCCAGCAGCCGCGGUAAUACGGAGGAUCCGAGCGUUAUCCGGAUUUAUUGGGUUUAAAGGGUGCGCAGGCGGCGCUUUAAGUCAGUGGUCAAAUCGUGAGGCUCAACCUCAUCCCGCCAUUGAUACUGGAGCGCUUGAUUGCGGUUGAGGUAGGCGGAAUUCGUCGUGUAGCGGUGAAAUGCAUAGAUAUGACGAAGAACACCGAUUGCGUAGGCAGCUUACCAGACCGUAAAUGACGCUCAUGCACGAAAGUGCGGGGAUCGAACAGGAUUAGAUACCCUGGUA
This 453-nucleotide ribosomal RNA is filed under the name uncultured Porphyromonadaceae bacterium. RNAcentral describes it as "partial 16S ribosomal RNA". It matches the Rfam family "Bacterial small subunit ribosomal RNA", at positions 341 to 792 of the family's 1533-position model. Lineage: Bacteria; Pseudomonadati; Bacteroidota; Bacteroidia; Bacteroidales; Porphyromonadaceae. The record is from RNAcentral.